AGCAGCCGCGGUAAUUCCAGCUCCAAUAGCGUAUAUUAAAGUUGUUGCAGUUAAAAAGCUCGUAGUUGAAUUUCGGGGUCAGUAGGUUGGUCGUGCCACUGGUAUGCACUGGUCUUACUGAUUCCUCCCUCUUGUAGAACCGUAAUGCCAUUAAUUUGGUGUUGCGGGGAAACAGGACUGUUACUUUGAAAAAAUUAGAGUGUUUAAAGCAGGCUAACGCUUGAAUACAUUAGCAUGGAAUAAUGAGAUAGGACGUUCGAUCCUAUUUUGUUGGUUUCUAGGAUUGACGUAAUGAUUAAUAGGGAUAGUUGGGGGCAUUAGUAUUCAAUUGUCAGAGGUGAAAUUCUUGGAUUUAUUGAAGACUAACUACUGCGAAAGCAUUUGCCAAGGAUGUUUUCAUUAAUCAAGAACGAAAGUUAGGGGAUCGAAGACGAUCAGAUACCGUCGUAGUCUUAACCAUAAACUAUGCCGACUAGGGAUCGGAUGAUGUUAAUUUUUAAUGACUCAUUCGGCGCCUUAC
RNAcentral lists this ribosomal RNA (520 nucleotides) under uncultured Glomus. Its description in RNAcentral is "SSU rRNA". It matches the Rfam family "Eukaryotic small subunit ribosomal RNA", at positions 569 to 1091 of the family's 1831-position model. Lineage: Eukaryota; Fungi; Glomeromycota; Glomeromycetes; Glomerales; Glomeraceae. The record is from RNAcentral.